GACGAACGCUGGCGGCGUGCUUAACACAUGCAAGUCGAGCGGUAAGGCUCCUUCGGGAGUACACGAGCGGCGAACGGGUGAGUAACACGUGAGUAACCUGCCCUUCUCAUCGGAAUAAGCGUUGGAAACGACGUCUAAUGCCGAAUACGACUUCGGAAGGCAUCUUCUGAAGUGGAAAGCUCCGGCGGAGAAGGAUGGACUCGCGGCCUAUCAGCUUGUUGGUGAGGUAACGGCUCACCAAGGCGACGACGGGUAGCCGGCCUGAGAGGGUGACCGGCCACACUGGGACUGAGACACGGCCCAGACUCCUACGGGAGGCAGCAGUGGGGAAUAUUGGACAAUGGGCGCAAGCCUGAUCCAGCAACGCCGCGUGAGGGAUGACGGCCUUCGGGUUGUAAACCUCUUUCAGCAGGGACGAAGCGCAAGUGACGGUACCUGCAGAAGAAGGACCGGCCAACUACGUGCCAGCCGCCGCCUAA
This 479-nucleotide ribosomal RNA is filed under the name uncultured bacterium. Its description in RNAcentral is "partial 16S ribosomal RNA". It matches the Rfam family "Bacterial small subunit ribosomal RNA", at positions 28 to 522 of the family's 1533-position model. The record is from RNAcentral.